ACUUCCCUGAGAACAACAUCCCAGGCGAGAGGGUGGCCACAGUGCUGGCGACAGACGCAGACAGCGGAAAGAACGCCGAGAUCGCCUACUCGCUGGACUCCUCUGUGAUGGGGAUCUUUGCCAUCGAUCCCGAUUCUGGGGACAUCCUGGUCAAUACCGUGCUGGACCGCGAGCAGACUGACAGCUUCAUCCCCAGUCACCAACUGCAGGAAAAAAACACCAGGCCGUACAAGAUCUACCACCAGCCAACACAUUUGUGGGAGCAGGAGACAACAUUUCAAUUGGAUCAGAUCACUGCUCUGAGUACAGCUGUCAAACCAAUAACAAGUACAGCAAACAG
Molecule: small RNA, 340 nt
Filed under: Pongo abelii (Sumatran orangutan)
Lineage: Eukaryota; Metazoa; Chordata; Mammalia; Primates; Hominidae
Description: processed transcript
Source: RNAcentral